CAAAGGUACAGAAUGGAUCUUGAAGGAAAGGGUCGUUGCUGGGCCUCCAAAAGAACCCCGUGUAGACAUUGAGAACCUUCGGCCUCCUGACCU
Molecule: non-coding RNA, 93 nt
Organism: Myotis lucifugus (little brown bat)
Lineage: Eukaryota; Metazoa; Chordata; Mammalia; Chiroptera; Vespertilionidae
Source: Rfam